Molecule: long non-coding RNA, 1806 nt
Filed under: Mus musculus (house mouse)
Lineage: Eukaryota; Metazoa; Chordata; Mammalia; Rodentia; Muridae
Description: long non-coding RNA chr5:93187425-93189231
Source: RNAcentral
UUUUUUUUUUUUUUUUUUUUUUUUUUUGCUAAAGUCAGGGCCUUCUCUAUCAUGAACUAACUCUCCCACCCCUCUUCUCAGUUUUAUUUAAAACCAUAGAGUAGCCCUCUCAAUUCAACCAAGGGAAAAAAUAGUGGAAUGAACAAAAGUCAAGCUUGAUACCUGUGCUUUCUGAAGCAGUUCAAUCGUAAGAGGAAGCCAAUCAGGAAUGAGUUUCUCCAUUUCCAGACUAACCAUGGCCAGAGCAAGCAUGGACCCUUUGAACUGCAGAAGUUGGUUGCAGGCCAUACAGUGAAGCAGCUGCUUGGUCAGGACUGCCAAAUGUUGAGAUGGGCUCAAUUUGGGCAAACUGAAAAGUAACUGAGGCCUAGCUGACACCGCAAUGGCAUGGAACUGGAGGUUUGGGGGAGAAAACACAAAAUUGUUACUUAAGGAAAAUAUCUAAGAAAGUAUACACAGAAAUAACAUCUCAGGUACGAUGCAAGUUUGUAACUUUUAUCUGUGGUGAUUUGAUACAUUUUCAGAGUCUAAUUUUUUCCUUGACUAACUUUAAUAGUUUCCCCUAAAUCCAUAGGAAGAGGCAACCUCUGUCCAAGUUACUGGACUAGGACUUUGUAUUCCAAGUAAGAACUAAAACAUUUUAGAUAUACUUACAAUGUGAAGAAAAUCCAAUGGUGUAGCCGUGUGAAGAUCCCAAUUCAAUUUAUCCAGAAUAAUUCUCUCCAUUCUCAAAAUCUCAGAUGAGGAACAUCCACAGAAACUGUCUCUUGCCAAUACCUUUAGCACUGGAAUUUUCUAUCCAAGGCAAAAGGAGUAAGAAACAAGGUCAGAAAUGUAAAUAGAGAAAAAUAAUAUUAAAAAACCAAAAUGAACUGGAGAGGUGGCUCAGUCGCUAAGAGCAGGGCUGCUUUUCCCAGGCCUAAGUUCAAUUCUCAACUACAUGGCAACUCACAACUGUCUUUAUACCAGUCCCAGGGAAACCAAUGCCGUUCUGACUUGUGUGCACCAGGCAUGCAUGCAGUGUACUUACAUACACUGGGGCAAAACACUAAAAAUCAGGAGGCAGAGGCAGGCAGGCAGUUGUAGGAGAGCCUGGUCUACCAAGCAAGUUCUAGGACAACCAGGGCUACCCGAAGAAGUCCUGUCUUAAAUAAAUAAAUAAAUAAAUCUUUCAAAGAGACAGCUGAUCUUCCAAAGAAGCAUAUUAGAGGAUUAAUGCAUCAAAAACACUUAACUAAAAUUGGAGUUUUAAAGACAGCAUUCAUUUUUAAGCCUCUCAAGGCUCAAGUAGCCUGGCCCUGCCCCUAUAUACUCUUUAAUGGUUGUUUCCAGCCCCUCAAGGUGCAGGCACCCAAAUUACACCCUACAGAGAAAAAGAGCCCAAGAUCAGGCCAAAGAAUUCUACCAUUCCAGACCAUCCCACAAACCAUCUCCCACAGUUCUAAGGAGCCCUAUAUACAGUCUGUCUCCUGCUCAGUUCUUUGCUGUUUCUCUCCUGAGCACAGGCGGCUGGCCUCCUAUGUCUUUCCCAAUCUCUCAUGUGAGGCUUGUUGUGUGGUGUGACUCUAUGGUAUUUCUUGGCUCCUGACUACCAGGAGACCUUUACUCUCAGAGCUGAACAUUUACAUAUUUAGUAAUAAAGGUUUCAUUAAAAACAAACAAAAAAAGCCUCCAAGUGAACCAACCAAACCUAAAGAAUAAACCUUGAAAGGAUUCCUUACCUCAUCUUCCUCAACAGUCUUAGCAGCCAGAAAAAAACAGCUGAUUGCAAUACAAUUCAAAUAUUUUGGAUGGGCCUAAAAUUUU